This 253-nucleotide ribosomal RNA is filed under the name uncultured bacterium. Its description in RNAcentral is "partial 16S ribosomal RNA". It matches the Rfam family "Bacterial small subunit ribosomal RNA", at positions 524 to 776 of the family's 1533-position model. The record is from RNAcentral.
UACGGGGGGAGCAAGCGUUGUCCGGAUUUAUUGGGCGUAAAGAGCUCGUAGGCGGCUUGUUGCGUCGACCGUGAAAACCCGGGGCUCAACUUCGGGCUUGCGGUCGAUACGGGCGGGCUAGAGUUCGGUAGGGGAGACUGGAAUUCCUGGUGUAGCGGUGAAAUGCGCAGAUAUCAGGAGGAACACCGGUGGCGAAGGCGGGUCUCUGGGCCGAUACUGACGCUGAGGAGCGAAAGCGUGGGGAGCGAACAGG